UGUUCUAUGGCCGAACUGGUAAAGGCAUUGCCGAUCACAGGCAAAGUUGCGGGUUCGAGUCUCGCUGGAACGG
RNAcentral lists this transfer RNA (73 nucleotides) under Operophtera brumata (winter moth). It matches the Rfam family "tRNA". Rfam says of the family: Transfer RNA (tRNA) molecules are approximately 80 nucleotides in length. Their secondary structure includes four short double-helical elements and three loops (D, anti-codon, and T loops). Further hydrogen bonds mediate the characteristic L-shaped molecular structure. tRNAs have two regions of fundamental functional importance: the anti-codon, which is responsible for specific mRNA codon recognition, and the 3' end, to which the tRNAs corresponding amino acid is attached (by aminoacyl-tRNA synthetases). tRNAs cope with the degeneracy of the genetic code in two manners: having more than one tRNA (with a specific anti-codon) for a particular amino acid; and 'wobble' base-pairing, i.e. permitting non-standard base-pairing at the 3rd anti-codon position. Lineage: Eukaryota; Metazoa; Arthropoda; Insecta; Lepidoptera; Geometridae. The record is from Rfam by way of RNAcentral.